GUGCUCACUUCAGCAGCAUACUCUAAUUGGAAUAAUUUAGAGAAGAUUACCAUAGCCUCUGCACAAAGAUGACACAUUAAUUCAUGGUUAUAUUCUAUAAAUUA
Nomascus leucogenys (northern white-cheeked gibbon) is the source of this 104-nucleotide small nuclear RNA. The record is from Ensembl. Lineage: Eukaryota; Metazoa; Chordata; Mammalia; Primates; Hylobatidae.